UACGUAGGGAGCAAGCGUUGUCCGGAAUCAUUGGGCGUAAAGCGCGCGUAGGCGGCCCUGUAAGUCCGUUGUGAAAGUCAAAGGCUCAACCUUUGAAGGCCGAUGGAUACUGCAGGGCUAGAGUCCGGAAGAGGCGAGUGGAAUUCCUGGUGUAGCGGUGGAAUGCGUAGAUAUCAGGAGGAACACCCGUGGCGAAGGCGGCUCUCUGGGACGGUACUGACGCUGAGGUGCGAAAGCGUGGGGAGCAAACAGG
Molecule: ribosomal RNA, 253 nt
Filed under: uncultured bacterium
Lineage: Bacteria
Description: partial 16S ribosomal RNA
Rfam family: Bacterial small subunit ribosomal RNA
Source: RNAcentral